CAGUAGCCGCGGGAAAACGUAGGUGGCAAGCGUUGUCCGGAAUUAUUGGGCGUAAAGGGCUCGCAGGCGGUUUCUUAAGUCUGAUGUGAAAGCCCCCGGCUCAGCCGGGGAGGGUCAUUGGAAACUGGGAAACUUGAGUGCAGAAGAGGAGAGUGGAAUUCCACGUGUAGCGGUGAAAUGCGUAGAGAUGUGGAGGAACACCAGUGGCGAAGGCGACUCUCUGGUCUGUAACUGACGCUGAGGAGCGAAAGCGUGGGGAGCGAACAGGAUUAGAUACCCGCGUAGUCCCUGUCUCUUAUAC
This 301-nucleotide ribosomal RNA is filed under the name uncultured bacterium. RNAcentral's name for it is "partial 16S ribosomal RNA". It matches the Rfam family "Bacterial small subunit ribosomal RNA", at positions 509 to 807 of the family's 1533-position model. The record is from RNAcentral.